AGUGAACGCUGGCGGUAGGCCUAACGCAUGCAAGUCGAACGGCAGCACAGUAAGAGCUUGCUCUUACGGGUGGCGAGUGGCGGACGGGUGAGGAAUACAUCGGAAUCUACUUUUUCGUGGGGGAUAACGUAGGGAAACUUACGCUAAUACCGCAUACGACCUACGGGUGAAAGCAGGGGAUCUUCGGACCUUGCGCGAUUGAAUGAGCCGAUGUCGGAUUAGCUAGUUGGCGGGGUAAAGGCCCACCAAGGCGACGAUCCGUAGCUGGUCUGAGAGGAUGAUCAGCCACACUGGAACUGAGACACGGUCCAGACUCCUACGGGAGGCAGCAGUGGGGAAUAUUGGACAAUGGGCGCAAGCCUGAUCCAGCCAUACCGCGUGGGUGAAGAAGGCCUUCGGGUUGUAAAGCCCUUUUGUUGGGAAAGAAAAGCAGCAGGUUAAUACCCCGCUGUUCUGACGGUACCCAAAGAAUAAGCACCGGCUAACCUCGUG
RNAcentral lists this ribosomal RNA (492 nucleotides) under uncultured bacterium. RNAcentral's name for it is "partial 16S ribosomal RNA". It matches the Rfam family "Bacterial small subunit ribosomal RNA", at positions 29 to 507 of the family's 1533-position model. The record is from RNAcentral.